GACGAACGCUGGCGGCGUGCUUAACACAUGCAAGUCGAACGGUAAGGCCCUUCGGGGUACACGAGUGGCGAGCGGGUGAGUAACACGUGGGUGAUCUGCCCUGCACUUCGGGAUAAGCCUGGGAAACUGGGUCUAAUACCGGAUAGGACUCCGGACUGCAUGGUCUGGGGUGGAAAGCUUUUGCGGUGUGGGAUGGGCCCGCGGCCUAUCAGCUUGUUGGUGGGGUGAUGGCCUACCAAGGCGACGACGGGUAGCCGGCCUGAGAGGGUGACCGGCCACACUGGGACUGAGAUACGGCCCAGACUGCUACGGGAGGCAGCAGUGGGGAAUAUUGCACAAUGGGCGCAAGCCUGAUGCAGCGACGCCGCGUGAGGGAUGACGGCCUUCGGGUUGUAAACCUCUUUCAGCAUCGACGAAGCGAAAGUGACGGUAGGUGCAGAAGAAGGACCGGCCAACUACGUGCCAGCAGCCGCAGUAA
RNAcentral lists this ribosomal RNA (478 nucleotides) under uncultured bacterium. RNAcentral describes it as "partial 16S ribosomal RNA". It matches the Rfam family "Bacterial small subunit ribosomal RNA", at positions 28 to 523 of the family's 1533-position model. The record is from RNAcentral.